This 992-nucleotide ribosomal RNA is filed under the name uncultured bacterium. RNAcentral describes it as "bacterial SSU rRNA". It matches the Rfam family "Bacterial small subunit ribosomal RNA", at positions 142 to 1121 of the family's 1533-position model. The record is from RNAcentral.
GAUAACACUUGGAAACAGGUGCUGAUACCGUGUAACAACCAAAACCACAUGGGUUUGGUUUAAAAGAUGGCUUCGGCUAUCACUUUAGGAGGGACSCGCGGCGUAUUAGCUUGUUGGUAUGGUAAUGGCCUACCGAGGCAAUGAUACGUAGCCGACCUGAGAGGGUAAUCGGCCACAUUGGGACUGAGACACGGCCCAAACUCCUACGGGAGGCAGCAGUAGGGAAUCUUCCACAAUGGACGAAAGUCUGAUGGAGCAACGCCGCGUGAGUGAUGAAGGGUUUCGGCUCGUAAAACUCUGUUGUUGGAGAAGAACAGGUGUCAGAGUAACUGUUGACAUCUUGACGGUAUCCAACCAGAAAGCCACGGCUAACUACGUGCCAGCAGCCGCGGUAAUACGUAGGUGGCAAGCGUUGUCCGGAUUUAUUGGGCGUAAAGCGAGCGCAGGCGGUUUCUUAGGUCUGAUGUGAAAGCCUUCGGCUUAACCGGAGAAGUGCAUCGGAAACCAGGAGACUUGAGUGCAGAAGAGGACAGUGGAACUCCAUGUGUAGCGGUGAAAUGCGUAGAUAUAUGGAAGAACACCAGUGGCGAAGGCGACUCUCUGGUCUGCAACUGACGCUGAGGCUCGAAAGCAUGGGUAGCGAACAGGAUUAGAUACCCUGGUAGUCCAUGCCGUAAACGAUGAGUGCUAAGUGUUGGGAGGUUUCCGCCUCUCAGUGCUGCAGCUAACGCAUUAAGCACUCCGCCUGGGGAGUACGACCGCAAGGUUGAAACUCAAAGGAAUUGACGGGGGCCCGCACAAGCGGUGGAGCAUGUGGUUUAAUUCGAAGCAACGCGAAGAACCUUACCAGGUCUUGACAUCUAGUGCCAUCCUAAGAGAUUAGGAGUUCCCUUCGGGGACGCUAAGACAGGUGGUGCAUGGCUGUCGUCAGCUCGUGUCGUGAGAUGUUGGGUUAAGUCCCGCAACGAGCGCAACCCUGUAAUAGUUGCAGC